UUUUUUUUUUUUUGCCUCAGUAAACAGUACAGAAAAUGAUCUGAGAAUGAAAUUAUUUUGUAAAAGCCCAAAGGAGAAAAAGAGUAACAAGAUAUCAUAGUCUAGCAUCUACAGGCCAAGGUCAAAAACCUGGGUGCAAUGGAUCCCAUCAGCAUGUAAUUACAUAGAUUUAUAUUUUAUAUCCCUUCUGCAGUUAAAAUAUUUCCUCUUAUUUUAAAAUACAUUUCUGUGGUCUGGAGACCAGCAGUCUCUCCCCCACAUCUCUCUUCAUUCUUGCUUGUUUCUUAUCUUAUUCCUUUCUGCCCUUUCUGUAAAGAAAGCAAGUUAUCUUCUCAUGACUAUGUGAUUAAGGGGUAUAUAUAAGGAUGAAUUAUACAUAAAGAUCCAUGUAAUAAUUUAUGUUAAAAUAUUUAAGUUAAACAAUUUCAAUAGAAAAACUUCAUUUCUAUGGAAAGACAGAAUUGGAAAUCAACAGUGUUUUUACAUAUAUACAUACAUGUAUAAAUUCACAGAAAGGGUUUUUAAGUUGACCUAGUGGUCUUUAUGUAUCAUAGUCAUUUUCUAAAGCUGAGAAUCUAUAGUAGAUAAUAGUAUGAAAAUAACAAGUAGUUUGAUUCUAAUAAAAUUGGUAAGAAUGAGGAAGCAACACGAUCCACUACAGAUGUCUAUACAGUCCAAAGAACAGGAACUGGUUGGCCACAGUUCAUAUACUAAUACAUUCUUGGAGAAUACAAAAUUUAAGAAUGAAAACAUUAAGACAUUCUUGCCUUUUAAUUUUAGCUUAUAAAUACCAUGUGCUUAAUCUUAGACCCACUAACACAAAUAUCAUAUGAUAUAGGAAAUCUUCAUUAAUCUACUUUGCAUUAUAGCAAAGAUACCUGUAAAACCCAAGACACUUGUUCCCUAGAAGUUUACUUGCUCCGGUUGGUGCUUGCUACUCAGGAUGUAUCUAGUCCAGAAAGAUCAUCAGAAAUGUAUCACAGGCAAUAUGCUCAGAUUAAGAACUUAAGGCUUUGAAUAGAACCAGAAAACAAAAGCAACAACCCUGUUUCCAAAAGCAGGGACGAGGAAAAGUAAAACAGAAUUGUGAACUCAAAAGAAUUUUUGAUAAAAGUUUUUAGAAGGCAUCAAAGAAUCUUUAACAACCCUGCAGUACUACAAACUUUAUCAUUUUCUUUAUACAUUUAUAACUAGAACAAGUGCUCUUAAAAAAAAAAAUCCUAAUGUGUAUGUGUACAUAUAUGGGGAAAGGGUACAUUUAAAAGGUUAGUUUCUGUAAAAAGUUUAAUAAUUUUUUUAAAAAUUGGGAUAAGUCACCUAGUGAAGAUAAGUACACAAACCUGAUGUCAAAUUAAACUUCAUGGAAAACAAAAUGUGCUUUUUCUAUCCAUUUACUUUGUUAAAGUAAAACUGUUCUUGAUAGGUAUUUAAAAUCCAAGGAAUGAUGCCCCUUCCCAUCUCCCUUCCUUAUACUCUGCAAUUUGAAUUACCGUCUCACAUCUAGAAAGUUAAUAUAAUUCUCUAUAUUCUUGUGGCAAGAGGCCUUCAUAUUAAAUUUUUGGUAUAAAACCAUACCCUGAAGAGUUUUAUUGCUUGCAUACAUGAUGACACUGUGAUGCCAUUAUUACAAAAGUGGCUGGUGCUUUUUCUUAUCAAGCCCCACUUAAAACCAAGAUAAAAGUCUGCACUAUAUUUCGUACUUAACAUGCCAAAUGGUAGGCUUUCAGCAAAAGCAAAAUUUAAGCUUAAAAUAUUGAAAUGUUUUGUGAUGAACAGCAAUUCUGUCAAGGAAGUACUUUGUAAAGUUUGGAGGAAGGGCACUUUAAAGAAAAGAUGACUUGGAAAGCACCAAAUGAGUGAAAAUAAAGAAUUAAGACCCACAGGGAACGUUGGUUUUAAUGGGAAAGCAACCAAUGAUAUUUUUAGGUUCAGUUUGUCAUAACUGCUCAAGUAUCUUGGAAAGGAAAAGGCAUUGAUUAUUCUUAUCAUCAAUCACACUUUGAGGUCCCUUGGUUGAAUUGUUUAAUAAAUGGCUAACAGAAUUCCUUUACCUUUCAUUGAGUAAAAACAUCAGUGAUUCUUUAAUAAGAGAGAAGCAGGUAAGGUUGUUUCACUGCUUCUCUUUGUGUUUAGCUGAAGAAUGUGGGGUGGAAAGUGAAUAUGGUGACCAGAUAACCGGAAAUUCUCUUCUAGUAUUACUGCUUCUCAUUUAAAAAAUUAAAGAUAAUAACUGUGAAAAGCAUGAUAAUAAACAUUAUCUUUACAUGAGUAUUCUUUCAAUGAUCUAAGUUAAGUAACAUUGAUAUUUAUUGAGCCAAAACUUAAGUGUGUUCAUGUUACUUCUGUUUUGGUAGGGAGAGUGUAGUCUUCUUGCUUUUGAAAAUAGUUUUCAAAAAUAAUCUGACUCAUAAAUCUUCCCAUUGGCCCAUACAUUACCACUGUUCUAGCCACACUUUAAAAAGUCCUCUUCCCCUGCUAAUCAUUCUAUAUUUCCAUUGCUUCUCUUUUCUUGAGAUUAAGAAAACCAAAGCAUCGUCUAUAGCUAUAGUUUAAUUUUCCAAAAAACCACUCUGAGUAUAUAUCACACACAUAUCCCGUUGGCCAUUAAAAAAGAGAAGCAAUGUCAAUUUUCUUCUAGUCUUUCCCUGAUUUAAUAGGGCCUAAGAAGACACUUUUAUCUCUUUUUGGCUCCAUGUAUUUGGUUUAAUGUUAAUGAUCAUGGCUGAUAUUCCUUUUAUGGAGGAAGGGAACCUAAUUAUGUCAGCAAUAAUUGGUUCACUUGCUCCUCUGGGGUGGAAAAAAUAAGAUAUUUCAUAAAGUAACAAGGCCUGAACAAAUGUGUGGCAGUCUCAAAUUCUAUUCUACAUCUAAGGUGUAAUCCUUACAUACUAAAGAUAGUGGGGUCGUUCUUGUAGAUUUCUAGCAGACUGGUACAUUAAAAAGUGAGAAUGCUUAGGGUAUGACAAUAUAAAAAAAGGUUUAAUUUGAGAAAAGGAUUAAGUUAAAUAGUAAACAGUGUGAGAUUUUAAUCACGAGUACAACAGAGUGAAGAGCAGCCUUCAUGACAAGGAACCAUGUGACCAGCUCCUGCCCCAAACAUAGGUUAUCACAUAUGGGUUUUGUUUCAUUCGGACAAAGGAAAAGCCCCACACAGUUAUCUUAAGUGCUCAUUAUAUAGAGACCUCAUUUAACCAUGCUCAAUCAUCUUAUGGAAAAGAAAAACAUUACAAUAAAUGUGGUUUCCACAUAUCCUAGUUCUGUAAAAGGUCAGGUGUCUCAUAAAGUUUGGGUUUUGGUGAAAAUUUUUGUACAUGCUGAUGUUAACUACUGUAACAAUUAUAGGAUUGUAAAAGGUAAAAUAACCUGUACAACUUUGACUGUCCCAGUGACCAAAAUGCACUUUAAUCUUAGAAUAAUCAAGACUGAAGCAUUAACUGAACCCUCAUCUUAUAUUAAUAGCACCUUCUAAGAGAGGCACUGUUUUAAAUAGGCACAGAAACAAAAA
This is a long non-coding RNA of Macaca fascicularis (crab-eating macaque), 3505 nucleotides long. Lineage: Eukaryota; Metazoa; Chordata; Mammalia; Primates; Cercopithecidae. The record is from Ensembl.